CGCCUCUUGCAAAAUCUACAAAUAAGAGGUCCCGCCUGCCCUGUGACUAUAUGUUCAACGGCCGCGGUAUUUUGACCGUGCGAAGGUAGCGCAAUCACUUGUCUUUUAAAUGGAGACCUGUAUGAAUGGCAUAACGAGGGCCUAACUGUCUCCUUUUUCAAGUCAAUGAAAUUGAUCUUCCCGUGCAGAAGCGGGAAUAAUUACAUAAGACGAGAAGACCCUAUGGAGCUUUAGACAAAAGCAGGCCAUGUUAAGCACCCUUAUAUAAAAGACAAAACUCGAUGCUUUCUGCCCUAUGUCUUUGGUUGGGGUGACCGCGGCGAAACAAAUAACCCCCGUGUAGAAAGAGGGCUCUGCCCUUCAAAUCAAGAGCUCCCGCUCAAACUAACAGAACAUCUGACUAAACAAGAUCCGGCAACGCCGAUCAACGGACCGAGUUACCCUAGGGAUAACAGCGCAAUCCCCUUCUAGAGCCCAUAUCGACAAGGGGGUUUACGACCUCGAUGUUGGAUCAGGGCAUCCUAAUGGUGCAGCCGCUAUUAAGGGUUCGUUUGUUCAACGAUUAAAGUCCU
RNAcentral lists this ribosomal RNA (572 nucleotides) under Chaetodon austriacus (blacktail butterflyfish). RNAcentral describes it as "partial 16S ribosomal RNA". It matches the Rfam family "Bacterial large subunit ribosomal RNA", at positions 1817 to 2597 of the family's 2925-position model. Lineage: Eukaryota; Metazoa; Chordata; Actinopteri; Chaetodontiformes; Chaetodontidae. The record is from RNAcentral.